Non-coding RNA from Hemiscyllium ocellatum (epaulette shark), 482 nucleotides. NCBI's taxonomy places the organism in Eukaryota, Metazoa, Chordata, Chondrichthyes, Orectolobiformes, Hemiscylliidae. The record is from the annotation of a RefSeq genome assembly.
AGGGAACCUUGAAGUGGAAGAUGUAUCUGUUGCUCUCUCUGUUCGUCGUGUUUCACCAUGUGAAAUCACAGACUAUCGAGCAGAACCCCGCCGCCGUCUCCAAAUUUCCUGGAGAGGGAGUGAAACUGGAGUGUAUUGUGGAGGGCAGCAGCAGUAGUACUCCCAACUUGUACUGGUACAAACAGUCCCCGGGAAAAGAGCUUCAGCUGAUGUUUUACUCCAAUACAGCACAGUACGUGACUCCACGGGAGCCGGUGGACGGUUUCACCGCUGACAGACCGAGUAACACCAAGUUCAGCCUGAAGUCCUCCAACCUCCAAGCGAAUCACUCAGCCGUGUAUUACUGCGCCUGGAGUCUUCACAGUGACUUAGCGAGAGGGAGCAGCUCAACAAAAACCCCAAACGUCUCCUUCUCGCUAACAAUUGCCCUGUUUACUGACCUUAUCCCUUUCUCAGACGUGAAGACAGCGAGAGUUGAUUAG